Molecule: ribosomal RNA, 399 nt
Filed under: uncultured bacterium
Lineage: Bacteria
Description: partial 16S ribosomal RNA
Rfam family: Bacterial small subunit ribosomal RNA
Source: RNAcentral
AAUAUUGCACAAUGGGGGAAACCCUGAUGCAGCGACGCCGCGUGAGCGAAGAAGGCCUUCGGGUCGUAAAGCUCUGUCCUAAGGGAAGAAACGGACGGUACCUUAGGAGGAAGCCCCGGCUAACUACGUGCCAGCAGCCGCGGUAAUACGUAGGGGGCAAGCGUUGUCCGGAAUUAUUGGGCGUAAAGCGCGCGCAGGCGGUCUGGAAAGUCGGAUGUGAAAUCUCGGGGCUCACCCCCGAGCGUGCAUACGAAACUUCCAGACUUGAGAGCAAGAGAGGGGAGUGGAAUUCCUAGUGUAGCGGUGAAAUGCGUAGAUAUUAGGAGGAACACCAGUGGCGAAGGCGACUCCCUGGCUUGCAACUGACGCUGAGGCGCGAAAGCGUGGGUAGCGAACAGG